UAUUAAAGUUGUUGCAGUUAAAAAGCUCGUAGUUGGAUUUCGGAAGGUCCUUAGCAGUCCGCCCCUUCGGGGAGCGGGUUGCUGGCCUCCUAUGUUCCUAACGGUCCUCAUCCGCGAGGGUGGGGAAUCGACCGCUAGGAUCGUUUACUUUGAGGAAAUUAGAGUGUUCAAAGCAGGCGUAACUCGCCUCCGAAUACGUUAGCAUGGGAUAAUGGAAUACGACUUCGGUCUUGUUUCGUUGGUUUCGCUUGGCUGAAGUAAUGAUUGAUAGGGACAGUUGGGGGCAUUAGUAUUUAGUUGUCAGAGGUGAAAUUCUAGGAUUUACUAAAGACUGACCAAUGCGAAAGCAUUUGCCAAGGAUGUUUUCAUUAAUCAAGAACGAAAGUAGGGGGAUCGAAGACGAUCAGAUACCGUCGUAGUCUCUACCGUAAACUAUGCCGACCAGGGAUCCGGAGAGUUUGCAUGGAUGACUCCCCGGGCACCUUGUGAGAAAUCAUAAGUGUUUGGGUUUUGGGGGGAGUAUGGUCGCAAGGCUGAAACUUAAAGGAAUUGACGGAAGGGCACCACCAGGAGUGGAACCUGCGGCUUAAUUUGACUCAACACGGGGAAACUUACGAGGUCAGGACACUGUGAGGAUUGACAGAU
This 645-nucleotide ribosomal RNA is filed under the name Vermamoeba vermiformis. Its description in RNAcentral is "SSU rRNA". It matches the Rfam family "Eukaryotic small subunit ribosomal RNA", at positions 602 to 1248 of the family's 1831-position model. The record is from RNAcentral. Lineage: Eukaryota; Tubulinea; Echinamoebida; Vermamoebidae.